UCCGACGUAGCUCAAUGGUGGAGCAAUCGGCUGUUAACCGGUUGGUUGCUGGUUCGAGUCCAGCCGUCGGAG
This 72-nucleotide transfer RNA is filed under the name Endomicrobium sp. Its description in RNAcentral is "tRNA-Asn". It matches the Rfam family "tRNA". Rfam says of the family: Transfer RNA (tRNA) molecules are approximately 80 nucleotides in length. Their secondary structure includes four short double-helical elements and three loops (D, anti-codon, and T loops). Lineage: Bacteria; Pseudomonadati; Elusimicrobiota; Endomicrobiia; Endomicrobiales; Endomicrobiaceae. The record is from RNAcentral.